Ziziphus jujuba (common jujube) is the source of this 1357-nucleotide long non-coding RNA. RefSeq lists it as uncharacterized. The record is from RefSeq and is a predicted model, not a curated record. NCBI's taxonomy places the organism in Eukaryota, Viridiplantae, Streptophyta, Magnoliopsida, Rosales, Rhamnaceae. The transcript has 5 exons.
UCUCUCUCUCUCUCUCUCUCUCUCUCUCUCUCUCUCUUUCUUAGGUUUUCUUUGUUUUCUAUGUGUCUCUGAAGUCUGAACCCUAGUUUUUCCUUUCUCUUUUAUAUCUCAGCUUCUUCUUAUAUCUCUUUCAACAAAGUUUUGCACACCGAUUCAAUGGACUUUGCGCGCGGUGAUUCUAGAAUUUGCUUGCUUUAUGAAUCUUCUUCUUCUUCUUCUAUUUUAAUGAACAAAAAGGAUCUAGGAAUCUAAUAUUGAGAACCUGAGCCAUAAUCCAUUUACGCAUCCACCCACCAACAAUAACCAUCGCAGUCGGAGAGAGAGUUUUAGGAGAUUCGGCCAGUAAGCCCUAACCUGGACCAAUCCAAUCCUCCAAGGCCCAUUAAUCCAAUUCCCAGCUAACGGCUAGUUUCCAUGUGUCUUACAUGCGCUAACGGUCAUGUUUCAAUCUCCCAACGGCUAGUUGUUGUAUUUGAUGUACCGCUGUGUUCGCACUUGCUAACGGUCAUAUAUUCAUAUUCUUUUAUAUAAGCUAUUGUUGUACCCCUUUUUACUUUGUAGUUUUUUUUUUUUGAAUUCAGUCCAAUUGUCUUCAAAUGAAUUUCUUUUUUUUUUUUGGUUCCCGAAACCAAGUUCGUGUUUAUGCUUCUGCGAGAUCUUCUUCAUUCAGUUUCAAUGGAAGGACCUCGGACAGUCACAAUGUCACCGGAAAACAUCAACUCGGAUCGCAGCUGAUCAGAUGGGGUGCCUCCUAUUAUUGCCAUCUUUCUGUUAGGCUGCUUCAAAGUAGCAGCAAAUAAAUAAUUGGCUUUGCCUAGUGAUCAACUUUUUUGUUAUCUAUAACAAGAUUAUGAAUUCUUCUGAAAAAGUUGUUGAAAAGUGAAAACUUUCCAGGUCUAAACAAUGAAGCAAUUGCAGAGUUUGGAAUACCUAAAAUCAGAAGUCAUAAGUAGCAAUACGUAGGACAUCACAUCCCUCAAUCCUCCUCGAACAAAACUUAUUUGGCUGAAUAUGAAGGAGAUGGGUCCACCUAUUGCCAUCUUUCUGUUUGGCUGCUUUCAAGUACUGGCAAAUACAGAUGAUCCAUCUACUGCAAACCCAUUCAAGAUUAUGAAGAGAGCUCACUCAACUUUUCUGUUUCCUAGAUCCUAGUACGACAAGAUUAUGAAUUUUCCUGAAAAGGGCUAAACAACAAGCUUUUGAUGAGGAAAUUGUUGAGUUUGGGAUUGGAUGCCUCAAGUGAGGAGUCAUACAAAGACAGCAACCCUCUGAUAUCUUGGAAGUAUAUUGUAUCUUUUAAAUUCCCCAUUAAAGAAGGCAUUGUAAGGAAUAAUUGUUAAUAAAAAAAAAUUGAGAC